GAAAUGUCCAUUUUAUUUUUUAACUUAGCUGCUCCUGCAACAAGUACUGUUCCUCCUACAACUUCUGUUACUACCACUGUGGCUGGUACUACCACCAUAACAACUGGAGAACCUGUCCCUGUUCGUGCUACCGUUCCUACAACGAGACCCACAACUACAACCACUACAUAUGUGGCCCCCACAACUACAGUGUCAAGGACAGCAUCACCACUGUCAACAACUACCAGCACAGCUCCAACUACCACAACAACCAAUGCACCAACCACUACAACAACACAUACUACUACUACUAGUACAGCAACAACAACAACUGCAACAACAACUACUACAACUGCACAUCUUCAACCUGCUCCAGUGGUGUCUUUCGUCGUACAACAAGUGUUUGUAGAAGCUUUAAAUGACCCUCAAAGUACACAAUUCCAAGAACUUGCAGUAACUAUUACUGCAGUGUUCGAUGUGAUCUACAAAGCAAAAUAUGGGAUCCUUUUCAUCCGGACGAUUGUUCUUGGAUUCACACCUAUUUUCCAUUCCCGUAUGGAUGCAGAAACACAGGCAGAGGUCCAACUGGUGUUCAAUGAGACCUCCACUCAAUCUGUCCCUGAGGUUACUGACAUUAGCAAUACACUGAAAGAAGCUGUGACCAAUCCAAACACUUUCUUUGGCAACCUCUCAGUGGAUGUCACCACCAUCAUUGUUAAAGGUGAGUAAAACCAUUAGGUGAA
Oncorhynchus tshawytscha (Chinook salmon) is the source of this 722-nucleotide long non-coding RNA. RefSeq lists it as uncharacterized. The transcript has 3 exons. The record is from RefSeq and is a predicted model, not a curated record. NCBI's taxonomy places the organism in Eukaryota, Metazoa, Chordata, Actinopteri, Salmoniformes, Salmonidae.